GAUGAAGAACGUAGCGAAAUGCGAUAAGUAAUGUGAAUUGCAGAAUUCAGUGAAUCAUCGAAUCUUUGAACGCACAUUGCGCCCGCGAGUAUUCUCGCGGGCAUGCCUGUCCGAGCGUCAUUUCAACCCUCAGGGCCCGCCUGCUUGCAGGCGCGGACCUGGUGUUGGGGAUCGGCCUACCAAGGCCGUCCCCCAAAUACAGUGGCGGUCUCGCUGCAGCCUCCCCUGCGUAGUAGCAACACUCGCAUGCGGAGCGCGGCGCGGCCACGCCGUAAAACCCCCGACUUUCUGAACGUUGACCUCGGAUCAGGUAGGAAUACCCGCUGAUCUUAAGCAUAUCAAUAAGCGGAGGA
RNAcentral lists this unclassified non-coding RNA (353 nucleotides) under soil metagenome. RNAcentral describes it as "partial contains 5.8S ribosomal RNA, internal transcribed spacer 2, and large subunit ribosomal RNA". The stretch from base 1 to 120 matches the Rfam family "5.8S ribosomal RNA", at positions 35 to 154 of the family's 154-position model. The record is from RNAcentral.